UAGGGAAUAUUAGUAAUGGGCGAAAGCCUGAACUAGCAACGCCGGGUGUGCGAAGAAGGCCUUCGGGUUGUAAAGCACUUUUUGAGAGGAUGAGGAAGGACGGUACUCUCAGAAUAAGUCUCGGCUAACUACGUGCCAGCAGCCGCGGUAACACGUAGGAGGCGAACGUUAUCCGGAUUUACUGGGCGUAAAGCGCGUGUAGGAGGUUUGGUAAGUAGGGCGUGAAAGCUCCUGGCUCAACUGGGAGAGGCCGUUCUAAACUGCCGAACUAGAGGAUGGUAGAGGGAGGUGAAAUUCCGGGUGUAGCGGUGGAAUGCGCAGAUAUCCGGAGGAACACCAGUGGCGAAAGCGGCCUCCUGGACCAUUCCUGACACUCAGACGCGAAAGCUAGGGUAGCAAACGG
RNAcentral lists this ribosomal RNA (403 nucleotides) under uncultured bacterium. RNAcentral describes it as "bacterial SSU rRNA". It matches the Rfam family "Bacterial small subunit ribosomal RNA", at positions 355 to 775 of the family's 1533-position model. The record is from RNAcentral.